AGACCCGAAACCCGGUGAUCUAGCCAUGGGCAGGUUGAAGGUUGGGUAACACUAACUGGAGGACCGAACCGACUAAUGUUGAAAAAUUAGCGGAUGACCUGUGGCUGGGGGUGAAAGGCCAAUCAAACCGGGAGAUAGCUGGUUCUCCCCGAAAGCUAUUUAGGUAGCGCCUCGUGAAUUCAUCUCCGGGGGUAGAGCACUGUUUCGGCUAGGGGGCCAUCCCGGCUUACCAACCCGAUGCAAACUGCGAAUACCGGAGAAUGUUAUCACGGGAGACACACGGCGGGUGCUAACGUCCGUCGUGAAGAGGGAAACAACCCAGACCGCCAGCUAAGGUCCCAAAGUCAUGGUUAAGUGGGAAACGAUGUGGGAAGGCCCAGACAGCCAGGAUGUUGGCUUAGAAGCAGCCAUCAUUUAAAGAAAGCGUAAUAGCUCACUGGUCGAGUCGGCCUGCGCGGAAGAUGUAACGGGGCUAAACCAUGCACCGAAGCUGCGGCAGCGAACGUAUCACCCAAGACAACUUUACGGAGUUGACGAUUGACGGAGCGAAGCGACGUCAAAGCGUUCAUUAAAGUCGAGUUGGCUUAGGGAUACGUUCGUUGGGUAGGGGAGCGUUCUGUAAGCCUGUGAAGGUGUGUCGUGAGGCAUGCUGGAGGUAUCAGAAGUGCGAAUGCUGACAUAAGUAACGAUAAAGCGGGUGAAAAGCCCGCUCGCCGGAAGACCAAGGGUUCCUGUCCAACGUUAAUCGGGGCAGGGUGAGUCGACCCCUAAGGCGAGGCCGAAAGGCGUAGUCGAUGGGAAACGGGUUAAUAUUCCCGUACUUGGUGUUACUGCGAAGGGGGGACGGAGAAGGCUAUGUUGGCCGGGCGACGGUUGUCCCGGUUUAAGCGUGUAGGUGUGUGUUCCAGGUAAAUCCGGUUCACUUUAACACUGAGGCGUGACGACGAGGCACUACGGUGCUGAAGCAACAAAUGCCCUGCUUCCAGGAAAAGCCUCUAAGCAUCAGGUAACACGAAAUCGUACCCCAAACCGACACAGGUGGUCAGGUAGAGAAUACCAAGGCGCUUGAGAGAACUCGGGUGAAGGAACUAGGCAAAAUG
RNAcentral lists this ribosomal RNA (1100 nucleotides) under Salmonella enterica. RNAcentral's name for it is "partial 23S ribosomal RNA". It matches the Rfam family "Bacterial large subunit ribosomal RNA", at positions 711 to 1724 of the family's 2925-position model. The record is from RNAcentral. Lineage: Bacteria; Pseudomonadati; Pseudomonadota; Gammaproteobacteria; Enterobacterales; Enterobacteriaceae. RNAcentral also lists the same sequence under 1 other name.